Long non-coding RNA from Nicotiana attenuata, 1910 nucleotides. RefSeq lists it as uncharacterized. The record is from RefSeq and is a predicted model, not a curated record. NCBI's taxonomy places the organism in Eukaryota, Viridiplantae, Streptophyta, Magnoliopsida, Solanales, Solanaceae. The transcript is spliced from 3 exons.
AUCGCCAUUUUCUACUCUCUUAUCAAAUUUCGCUAUGCAGAUGACCUGUAAAUGUUCUUCGAGUAUCUUCUGAGUAUCUUCGUUCUUCUUCAUCCUACUGAAGUUUUAGAGACGAAGAUACUCGAAAAACAUUUACUGGUUACUUGUAUAGAAUUACUAUAAAUAGUCCGUCAGAACUCAAACACAAUUUCUUCCUCUCCAGAUCUGUGCUUCCCUUAUCCAUAAAGUACCAACUCGAUCGUAUAGCUCAAUCGCCGUUUCUCAGUCUCUUAAAUAUCUCCUAGUUGUCAAAAGUUCGUACAGGUGACUUGUAAAUGUUUGCGACCUUCUAAUAUGAUAACUGGCAAAACAUUUACACGUACCUUGUAUGAACUUUUGAUUCUAGCUUUGCUGAAGCCUUUUGAUGGAGGACUGCUCUAACUCAAGUGGCCAAUCUAAAAGGCUGUGAUAUUCACAGUCUGUGAGUUUAAAAUACACAUUAAUUGGUAUAAUGUUUCCAUUGGUUUGCUUAGAAAACUUCGAAAUGAGUUAAUUAAACAAAAUCAGCACUAACUCAACUGAUUUUUUGGAUCUAACAUGAGGGAAAAAUUUAAUAGUUAAUUGUUAUUUUGAUGUUAGACAGAGACGUCCUAUGCUUUAAUAGGAGUUAGCAAAUCUCUUGGGAUCCAUAAUGGAAGAAAAAGAUCUAGAUAGGUUUUACCUAUUAGUUGAGAAUAUGUUGAAGUCAAGUGAGCACUUUUGUUUUACAUCGCUUUUCUUGUAGUUGUUUAGCAUUUUAGAGAUUUAUACAUCAAUAGAAAAUAUAAAGAAUCUUUAAUACUUAUUAUUAUUAUUGUUUUUGUUUUGUAUAUGGCGAUCUAUCGAAACCCCUCCCGAAUAUUACUGUACACGUUUCUUAGAUCUCAAUAGCAAUCCCAAGAACCCAAAUCCUUGUUCUCAGAUCUCACCAAUUUUACAUCAAAAGCUGCUGCUUAAAUGCAGUCACUUCAGGAAAUUUUCUCUGUUUUCUUGAUCUGGGGUGGCUUUUUUUUCUUGAUAACAUACUUAAUCAAGGUAGAUUUUUUACACCAAUUUUGAAUUGUUUAUGAUGUGGAGAUUCAAACCUUUUAUGCCCAAGGAACAGGCUGGGCUUGAAGGUCGCACCAUUGAUAUUGGAAGUCUCAAAGUUCAUGUGCGCAAUGCAAUUACAGAAGGCGGAUUCUCUUGUGUUUAUUUAGCCCGAGAUGUACUACAUGGUUCAAAGCAGUAUGCAUUAAAGCAUAUUAUUGUUAAUGAUGAAGAAUCAGUUGAUCUAGUACUGAAAGAAAUUUCAGUGAUGAAAUCGCUCAGGGGUCAUCCUAAUAUUGUCACACUAAAUGCGCAUACCUUCUUGGACAUGGGUCGUACAAAGGAUGGAAUAUUGUGAGUUAUCCUUGGUCAGUGUCCUUGAGAACCGAGGAGCUGGCUUCUUUGAGGAGGAGAAACAAGUCCUCUUUAUAUUCAGGGAUGUAUGCAAUGCUGUCUUUGAUGCACUGCCAGCCCCCACCCAUAGCUCACAGGGUCGAAUCAGAGAGCAUUAGUGGAUUGUCGGCGAAAUUUCUUCAUUGAGCAAACUUCUUUUGUCGUCCUCCCAAGAUGUUGUGGGUAUAGAUGCUCAUCUAGAGCAAGUGAAAUCCCUGCUAUGGAUGAAAACUGAUGACAUUCUAAAUAAUUAUUGGUAUCUGGGGCACGGGAGGAAUAGGGAAUACGGCAGUUGCACGAGCCAUUUUGAAGCUUCUUGUUUCCGUGGAGAUGUUAGAGAAUACAAGCAUAGUGUGUGCACUCAUUGCAAAAUACCCUUCUUGGUAAACUGUUAAGGAAGAAAGAUGAAUGUCAGUAAGGAAGUGCAUGAUAGUGAGUAGACUUAUAGCCCGUUUGGCCAAACUUUUAAA